RNAcentral lists this ribosomal RNA (468 nucleotides) under uncultured bacterium. RNAcentral's name for it is "partial 16S ribosomal RNA". It matches the Rfam family "Bacterial small subunit ribosomal RNA", at positions 28 to 507 of the family's 1533-position model. The record is from RNAcentral.
GACGAACGCUGGCGGCGUGCUUAACACAUGCAAGUCGAACGGAAAGGCCCUGCUUUUGUGGGGUGCUCGAGUGGCGAACGGGUGAGUAACACGUGAGUAACCUGCCCUUGACUUUGGGAUAACUUCAGGAAACUGGGGCUAAUACCGGAUAGGAGCUCCUGCUGCAUGGUGGGGGUUGGAAAGUUUCGGCGGUUGGGGAUGGACUCGCGGCUUAUCAGCUUGUUGGUGGGGUAGUGGCUUACCAAGGCUUUGACGGGUAGCCGGCCUGAGAGGGUGACCGGCCACAUUGGGACUGAGAUACGGCCCAGACUCCUACGGGAGGCAGCAGUGGGGAAUAUUGCACAAUGGGCGGAAGCCUCAUGCAGCAACGCCGCGUGCGGGAUGACGGCCUUCGGGUUGUAAACCGCUUUCGCCUGUGACGAAGCGUGAGUGACGGUAAUGGGUAAAGAAGCACCGGCUAACUACGUG